This 2428-nucleotide long non-coding RNA is filed under the name Homo sapiens (human). RNAcentral describes it as "HSALNT0168059". Lineage: Eukaryota; Metazoa; Chordata; Mammalia; Primates; Hominidae. The record is from RNAcentral.
GGGUAAGCUGGGUUUGUCUGAGGGGCUCUGUCUUCCAGGAGCUCACCUUUUCAAAAGGUGUGAGGGAAGGAAGGAGGCUAUAGGCCCAAUAAGCAGUUGGCAUUUCCUGACAAUUGUUUCAAACACAAAGCCAGCAGGAGCUGCUCCCAGCGAGCCCCGCUUCUCCCCAUAAUCUAGCCUUGGGUAACAGGCUUCUCCCAGGAGAUCACUGUUCUCAGUCCCUGGCAAGAGCUGGCCCCAUGGGGAGUGCUUUGUUGAUAGUGCCCAGUGCCCAGCAACCAGGCUGGGUUUGGGAAGGAGGCUGGAGUCUUCAGGAGGAAGGUCCUGCCCAAGAUGGUGCAGAGGGUGGUUCCCAUGGAUGCUCCUCUCCUCGCCUCCACACAGGAGAGGAAUGAACCUUGUUCCCAGCUGGAACCCCUCUCUGGAUUCCAGCCCCUGAAGUGUGGCCCCUCCCAGAGGAAGCCAGAGGGAGUCAGCGCCUGGGACCAAGAUCAAGGACCACCUGGUAUUCCUCUCCCUAUGACUUGGAAAUUCCACCAGCUAAACACUGCCAACAACCAGUGGCUUCCCAUCUGGCCUACAGUAAAAACCUAAGAUCCUUAGGAUGCCUACAGGGCUCUUGGUGAUCUCCUUCUCCACAGCCCCUCCUCCAUCCCCCACCCCACUUCUUGUUAUCUCUUUGACAUCAUCUCCUACAACUCUUCCUAAGUCUAGAUUUGAGCUUCUCAAACUUGGCACUCUGGACGUUUUGGGAAGGAUCAUUCUUUGGAGAAUGUGGAGACCGUCCCGUGCAUUGUAGGAUGUUGAACAGCAUCCUUGACUCUCAUAGUGCACACUCCCAUCCCAGCUGUGACAACCCAAAAUGUUUCCAGACAUGGCCAGAUGUCCCCUGCGGGGAGAGGAGCAAAAUGGCCCUGUGAGGACCACUGGUCUAGACCACUCCCGCCAGCCCUGCUGCCCUCCUUGCUGUUCACACUACUACUUCCAGGUCCUUGCACUUGCUCUUCCCUCUACAGGGGUCUCCCCUGCACUUCUUUCUGGUCUUUACUCAAAUGUCACCUGCUCGGUGAGAUCUUACCCAACCAUCCUAUUUAAAAUUGCAACCCAUCCUAAUCAUCCCUAAAACAUUUCCCUCCUUAAUUUUUCUCCAUAGCAUUUAUCACUGUUAGGCAUUCCACAAGUCUUACUCAUUUUUAGUGUCUAUUUACUUCCAUCCAGUAGGAUGUAGCUCUCUGAGGGUGAGAUUUUGUUUGUUUGAUGUUUUGUUUUGGUCUUCUCUGUCCACUGCUGUAUCUCUGGACUUAGAACAAUGACUGGCACACAAAAGGCACUCAAUAAAUAUUCAAUGGAUGGGUGGAUGGCUGGGACAGCUCAAAUUCCUUUCUACCUCAGAAGCUGGUGGGUCAAGAGAGAAGAUAAGCCUGUGUCACUUCUCCAGUGAAUCCAUGGUGUCAUGGAUUCGCUGAAGCCAUGUGUCGGGGUGGACUCUAUACUGGGCCUUUAAGCACUUUACCUCCUCCCACACCAGAGUUUUUUUUUUCUCUCUCUCUCCUUUUUCCUGUCUUUGUUUCUUUUCUUUUUCUUCUCUCCUCUCCUCUUCUCUUUUUCCUUUUGCUUCUCAUAGUCUUGCUCUGUCACCCAGGCUGGAAUACAGUGGCAUAAUCAUGGCUCACUGAAGCCUCAAACUCCUGGGCUCAAAUGAUCCUCCAGCCUCAGCCUCCCAAGUAGCUGGGACUACAGGUGUACACCACCACGUUCAGCUAAUUUUUUUUCCCAUCUUUUUAGAGACAGGGUCUCCUAUGUUGCCCAGGCCGGUCUUGAACUCCUGGCCUCAAGUGGUCAUCCCACCUCAGCCUCUCAAGUAGCUGGAAUUACAGGUGAGAGCCACUGUACUUGGCAAGAGUUUUAUUUAAUUGCCCUUCUUGAGAGAAUAGUGGAAAAUUAUGUGGGACAGGGGCUUUCAGAGCUGGCUAUGAAAAGCAGUCAUUUCUUCUUUUCUUUUUUUCCCCUCUCACAUUCUUUUUAUAGCUGUAUGUAUCAUGCAUGUGCAACCUCAUGUUACCCCUGCCCUUUGGUAAGAAGCCUAUGUUUACAUAUAUAUAUAUUUUACUUAUAUAAUAAUAAUCGUUUAUCUUUUCUGAGUGCUUCCUGAAUGCCAAGUAUUGUGCUAAGUAUAGGGACCCCUUCAUUUAACCCUCCAAACAACACUAUAAGUCUAGUUUUAUUGUUAUUGUCAACUGCUUCUGCAGAUAAACUGCCAUAGCUUCAGUAUCUGAUGCAGAAACACAUAGACACAUAUCUGAAUUUGAAGCCAAACAAGGCUGAGCAUGGUGGCUCAUGCCUGUAAUCCCAACACUUUAGGAGGCCGAGGCAGGAGGAUUGCUUGAGCUCAGGAGUUUGAGACCAGCCUGGCCAUGCAGUGAAAUCU